UUCAGGCUAGAAGUGUUGGACUGGGUUUUGUGAGGUAAACCGAAUGAUCGGAACUCGCAGGCGCUAUGCUACCUCUCCCAUCCUCAAACUUAAAUAUGUGGGAAGCCGUUGGUGCUCAACUGAGCGUCGGGCGUUCGAAUGCGUCAACACUAGUGGGCCGUUUUUGCUAGUCAGUAGUGGCGAUGCGGGAUGAACCG
This 197-nucleotide non-coding RNA is filed under the name Akanthomyces lecanii RCEF 1005. RNAcentral's name for it is "Cordyceps confragosa RCEF 1005 Eukaryotic large subunit ribosomal RNA". It matches the Rfam family "Eukaryotic large subunit ribosomal RNA", at positions 972 to 1170 of the family's 3401-position model. Lineage: Eukaryota; Fungi; Ascomycota; Sordariomycetes; Hypocreales; Cordycipitaceae. The record is from Rfam by way of RNAcentral.